This 497-nucleotide ribosomal RNA is filed under the name uncultured bacterium. Its description in RNAcentral is "partial 16S ribosomal RNA". It matches the Rfam family "Bacterial small subunit ribosomal RNA", at positions 28 to 507 of the family's 1533-position model. The record is from RNAcentral.
GAUGAACGCUGGCGGCGUGCCUAAUACAUGCAAGUCGAGCGAACGGACGAGAAGCUUGCUUCUCUGAUGUUAGCGGCGGACGGGUGAGUAACACGUGGAUAACCUACCUAUAAGACUGGGAUAACUUCGGGAAACCGGAGCUAAUACCGGAUAAUAUUUUGAACCGCAUGAUUCAAAAGUGAAAGACGGUCUUGCUGUCACUUAUAGAUGGAUCCGCGCUGCAUUAGCUAGUUGGUAAGGUAACGGCUUACCAAGGCAACGAUGCAUAGCCGACCUGAGAGGGUGAUCGGCCACACUGGAACUGAGACACGGUCCAGACUCCUACGGGAGGCAGCAGUAGGGAAUCUUCCGCAAAGGGCGAAAGCCUGACGGAGCAACGCCGCGUGAGUGAUGAAGGCCUUCGGAUCGUAAAACUCUGUUAUUAGGGAAGAACAUAUGUGUAAGUAACUGUGCACAUCUUGACGGUACCUAAUCAGAAAGCCACGGCUAACUACGUG